UACGUAUGGUGCAAGCGUUAUCCGGAUUUACUGGGUGUAAAGGGAGCGCAGGCGGCACGGCAAGCCUGAUGUGAAAGCCCGCGGCCCAACCGCGGGACUGCAUUGGGAACUACCGGGCUGGAGUGCCGGAGAGGUAGGCGGAAUUCCUAGUGUAGCGGUGAAAUGCGUAGAUAUUAGGAGGAACACCAGUGGCGAAGGCGGCUUGCUGGACUGUAAAUGACGCUGAGGCUCGAAAGCGUGGGGAGCAAACAGG
Molecule: ribosomal RNA, 253 nt
Filed under: uncultured bacterium
Lineage: Bacteria
Description: partial 16S ribosomal RNA
Rfam family: Bacterial small subunit ribosomal RNA
Source: RNAcentral